CUCCCCCCCCCCCCGGGUCGCCUUUGCUGGGGCUCCGUGUUGUUUUAGCUCGUCUUGUGCUUUUGGGUUGUAAUUUGGCCGUGGGUAGGUAAUUGGCUGGUUAAAGGCACCAGGCCGCCGCAGCCAAUCAGCGCGCAGCUUCCAUUGGGCUUGAGUUAUUAGACGCUGAUCUAAAAACAUCCUUCAGCAGACAGCAAAGGAGAGGCCAACAGAUCUGGCAGCCAUUUUUCUGCAAUGGAAUUAAAUGGCCAACUGGGUUUUCCUUUGUUCCAAAAGGGGAUACUUGAUUUGAAUGAAUCCACAACAUCCAUUUCAGGACUCUGCUCUCAGUGUUUGUGUUAAUGUCUGACAACAUUUAGAGGACUCAAAGGAAGAAGGAAGACUUUAAAAAAAGAUCUGGAUUUUUCCCUUUGAUUUGGAACCCAUCUUUGCCUUGUAUAUAACUAGGUCAUGGCACGCCCUUAAGUCAGCAGUAACAAUUUUGAGUUGCAAAAAAAGUAAAUACAUUGUUUUUUGUAGAGGGGUUGUGUUUAUUUUUAAAGGUUUUUCUUGAUCUGCCUGAGCAAUACAGGUUUUCUUUAAAAAAUAGUUUCCUGUAUGAAACACUAAAAUACCUGGCCAUCUUUUAAGUUAAAACCUUUCGUGCCAAGAAGGUAAUGUUUUAAAUAUAGAUGUAGGAAACGUGAAUUCUUGUAAAAAUUGUUAGGAUAAAGCUUUUCUUUUUUUUCUUUUUACAUUGUAAGUACCCAAUCCAUUCUGUCCUUUUUAAUAAGUGUAGUUUUCAUGUUAAUGUUACUGGAGUUCUCCUUAUAUAUAUAUUUCCAGCCUUCAUCUGCAUGUCAUUUUUUGUCUUGUUUAUCUAAACCAGUUGCUUCUGAAAUACUAUUUAGAGUUUUAAAAAUUAGCAAGAGAUGCUUAAAAUGUUUACAUAAAGUAACUAUUAACCAGGUGUAUUCACACUAACAUGUACAGAUUUAAAAAUAUUUGAGAUCAUGUAUGGUGGGUGGAAAUACCCGGUCUCCUUUUUAUAUGCAGAGUAAAUAUCACAGGAAUUUAGAUUUAUGCCUAGGAGUAAACAAAUUUCACGACUUAAGGUCAAAAGAAGUGGAUGUUUUCUAACAGUCUUUUUCUUUCUCUGGUCAAAGCCGUAGGUGACUCUAAAUGUCUAAUGAGAUUUUGAUUUGUAAACUCAAGAUAGAGAAAUGAUGAUACAGAACAUAAAUCUAUAUUUAGGAAUAGCUUUUUUAAAAAAAUCCCUUCAACGUCACCUUCAGAACUGCAUUCAACUAUGGUCUGUAGGAAGGGUGAGAUCGGCGCUGAUGGCGGAGGAGGAGGAGCUGACAAGGGAGUACGUGGCCUGUUCUGGGAAGAGAGAGGGCUUUCUGAUGGCGUCUCUCGGCCUCUUUGCAGCAGGGAGGGCUGCCCAGCCCGCCAGCCCGCCCGAUUUCGUUUUCAAUGCCUUUCUUUGUCUGGAGGAUUCCUCAGCAAUGCAGCCCCCUGGAACAUAAUGAGUGGGUGUUGCUUAGCCCAGACAGCCACAGCUCUGGAGUGCCUGCAGAUUUGAGCUGACACCCCUGGCCGUAGAUCCUGAGUUUCUUCACUGCAUUGUUAUCCAUCCUGGGCAUAGAAAUGGCCGCCUCUUCAGGCAAUGCAGACAAGCGAGCUGGAGACGCCUCUGGCCUUGACCUCCUUUCAGGAUUCCGUCAAUGCAGCCUCUUGGAGAGGUUGACAGCUUUUCACCUCUGUGGGGAUUGGCACUAGAAACUAGCACUGUGUUGCCUAUUUGGGGGGUAAGAGUUGAACGUCUUGAUCUUAGAGAGCAGAGGCAUCAAGGAGGAAUGGCUAUUGGAUGCUGCUGUCCCCUUCGCCACUAUUAUGGAUGGCAUCCAAACGUUUGGCUUGUACAUCCCCCCCCCCCCUCGUUGCUAGCUUCUUGCAAAACAACAACACAAUCUGCAUGAGGCCAUGGGUGUUGUCUCUGUGCGGGGCGGGAAGGCAUUCCAUUCCGCCACCACAUGCCAACAUUAGUUCAGGCGGUCAGACCUGUUUUUAAGCAGCAGAUCCAAGGAGUCAACCAAACUGGCCGAGGAACUGAUUGCCUGUUAGCUGUUGGACAAUGUCAUGCUCUGGUCUCUCAGAGGAAAGGGGGUAAAUGGCUGCUUAAAUAAGCAGCUUGCUGAGACGUAUGACUUGCAGUGGGGAUAGAACCUGAAGCGCAGUUUAUGGCGAGGAAGUUCUGUUGAAGUGUGCCAGAGUUGCUUUUGAGCAAAUAAGCGUAUGAUCACAUUGCACAUUAUUUUCUCUAGCCUUCAUAGAUAAUGUGAGAAGAAUGGCUGUUUUGCAAGAAGUCUGAGCUAGGUAUGUUGAAACUCCGAUGAACAAACGUAUCCCUCAGUUACCAUUAUUACCUUCUGGAAUCGGGGCUUGGUUGUGUACAUUGUGUAAAAGUAUGUGUAUGUGCUUUCUCUCUCUUUAAGUGCCCAGGCUGCUAGUACUUAGAAGACCUGUUGGAAAAUGUCGUCCUGUAGACUUUGCUCUUUAAGAAGCUGAUGUGGCAACACACCCGGUCGGGCCAGUCCUUCUGUGGUUGUUUGCUGGUUUGAUGCUCUUACAUUCCUUUUCAAUGAGUAUAAAAGAGGCAAGAGCAGGUGCUGUAGUGGAGGCUGUUUUGACCUUCCCCGGUUCACUGUGUAUAUCCUCCUCACCCUGUUCUUUUUCUAGUCAGGAUAAUAUAAUACUUUGACCCUCCUCUGCCUUGCAUUGGUCAAGACUUCUGUGGGUUCAAGAUUUUCCCCUCCUAGAAAUCAAAAAACUGUAGGUGCUUGGGCACUUUAUGCGAUCAAUAUUUUUUAGAAGACAAGCCCUGUAAAGUAGACAUACUGUUUUCAUAUUGCAGCUGUGUGAAGCUGAGAGAAUAGUAUGCCACAUAACAGCAUAGGGAUUUUCCAGCCUUCAGACUGAACGUCUAAGCUCCCAGCUCUUAUGCCGUAGACUCAGCAGCCCUUCUGUUGAUCUGCUUAGAAUGAGAGAACAGGCCAAUAAAAUGAACUGGCAGAAAUCUUCUCAGCUGCAGGAAAUGAAAUCUCUCUGUCACAUGCAGAAGUUGAGUGUGAAAUACUGCAAAAUCACUGUAAUAUAAUAAAAACAUCUUUUUGGACUCUUCCAGUAUAUUUGCUGUUAAUGUUUCUUAGUAAGGACCCAUGUAAUAUGUGUUUAAAGGAGCCAAUUUUUUCCUAAUAAGAUGCUCUAACUGUACUGAAUUUCUGGUAAUCUUUUAAGAUUUAAAAAACUCUCUUGGAAGAGGCUUGCACGCUUUGAUAAUCUAAUAGAAUUUGGUACUUUUGUCUGUUAAUAUUUUGUUUUGCCAGUCAGGUUGCACCUGACCUGUGCUGACCCCGUAGGGUUUUCAAGGCAAGAGGCUAACCGAGGUGGUUUGCCAUUGCUUGGCUGUGUGUAGCAAUUCUGGUAUUCCUUGGUGGUCUCCCAUCCAACUAGCUUGCUUGGUUUCCAAGAUCUAAUGAGAUUGGGCUAGCCUGAGCUAUCCAGGUCACAGAGUGAAGGAAUUCUAUCCUCUUUAUGUAUCAUGUCUGUGGUAAAUAGCUUUAAUUUCAGCAUUUAACACUUUUCCAUGUUUCAAACCGUGUCAGUUUAUAAAAAGUGAAUAUUUAGGUAGCUAGUUACUGACUAGAGCUCUUUAGGCUUCCCCUUUUUCAGCGCUGCUGUCCAGAUGCUUAUCCCCUUUAUGCUGCAGCCAUGUGGUAGUUUUGUUUAAUUUGUGCUCUUAAACCAGAAACUUGCUUCCUCAGUAUCACUUUGUAAAGUAUAAAUGCUUAAUUGCACCACUGAUUAGCUGUAUUCAAAAACUUUGGGGCUUACUCCAAGUCUGAACCUUAUCACAUCUUCAGCUGCAUUGCUCAGGCACGUGAGUAAUGCCAUCAGAUCCAAUGGAACUUUUCCGUAAUAAGUGAUUUGAGGUUUUCAGUCACAAAUAUGGCACAAUUCAGGGCACAAUGCCCCCAGUGGAUCCCAUGGCAAAUUGAAGGUAGUUAGAGCAUGCCUUUCUCGGCCCAGCCAUUUCUCCCACUCCUAUAUGUCCUGUUCUCCCUUUAUUUGUGAGGUUGAAAUCUUAAUAGAAAUGCUGUUUUGCCUGAGCCUUGAGACUUUCUUUGGGUGUGCCUGCCCACUGCAGCUGGGUUUGUUUCUGUAAACUUUAAAAGCCCAAGUGUUUUACACUGAAAUCAUUUGCAUAGUGUAUUUUUUGUAGGUAACUGUUGUACUCUAAUCUGGCAAUUUUCUAGUCACAGGCCUGUAUGUCAGGUAUUGUGGGUUAAGUUGCUUGCAUGUCUAUGAGAAGUGCCAGCUGGUUUUUCUUUUAAUGUAACUUAGGUAGUGCUUUAGUGAAAACUGACUUUGUUUUGUUGCUUGCCUUUGCAGAGGAAACCCCCUGCCAGGUAGGCUACAGCAGAUAGGUUUCCCUCCAGAUCUAAUUUCUUUACCUGGCAUGCAGUAAGUUGAGUUCUGGUCCCCCAGAGUCAGACCACUAUUUUAUUACACUUGCAGCAAUGAAACUUCUGAUGCUGAUAAUGGCUUGCAACACUGACUUCAUGAACCAGUUUCAGCAAGGGAAAGGGAAGUUUCCCAACAGGGCUUGGGUUAAAAUCACGUAAAACUGCAAAUAGAUCUGAGGAGACAAGCAAGCUAAAAAAAGGAGCCCUGAAAGUUGUAUAUGGAACUAUCAGCGAACUGGAAGAAGUUUUCUGGAGGUGGAGAAUGAUGAGGCUUGAGGAAACGGACAGGAGUGAUAAGGGGGUUGAGGCAAGAAGGAGCUUGUCAGUGAUGGAGAAGGUUUCUGAGAUCUGACAAAACCUGGCUAGUCUGAGCUAUCCAGAUCAGGAUGCAAAAUAUUCAAGACUACAUUGCAGUUAUUCCACAGUAACUAACAAGAACACCAGUUAUAAUUUGGGCCACACUACUCUUGGAAGAUUACUGGCUACCUAAAUACAGACUGCCACCCAGAAGCCCUUCAAAAAGUUAAAAGCAUGGUGGAAAAUCUUGCAUAAACUUCUAUGUAUUAGUAAGGCUAUGAAAUAGUGAAAACAACAGCUUGCUGUUAACACUGCUGUAAAAACAGUUUGCUUAUGACAUGUAGAAGAUAAAUGAGGAAGUCAUGUAUGCCAGAUUGCUUAAUGUUUGUUACAGGCACAAAGGAAGCUCUUAAAUACACUUAAUGAUUGCCCUGGCCUACUUCCUCACUGUGCUUUGUUAGGACUACCCUGGAGUAAGUGGAUCAGACAUGACGUUGAAAUGGACAUAUUGGUGUAUGUGGAGUACAACUGCAUUUUCAGGUCUGGCUUUAAGUGUUAAGGUUCUCAGCAUUCAAGGGUUUUAGGUUUUAUAGUGGAAGUAGCACUUGCCUAACUUGUGUCCAGAUCGAGCCACAUGUUUCAGAGCAGAGACUGCCAGUUGAAGAAACAAAUAAUCUAAUCUCUUUCAGUAUGCUGGUUUAGUAAUACAACUAAAACAUCAUAACUAGAGACUUUUGACAUAGCUUUUGACAAUCUAAUAUCCAUCUAAUACAAAUGUGUGAGGUACCAGAAAAAAUAUUACAGAAAAAAAACCUGCAGUCUGUAGCUAGCCUUGGACUCUGAGGAAGAGGGAAGAUCUUAAGUCUAAGUCUGGUAUCUGUGUUUCUUACUGGGGAAGUUCAUUAACGGUUGAUAAUUGAAUCAGUGUUUGUGUUCUACAUGGAGGUCAGAGCAACAGCUGUGACAGGCUGCCUCUCAGAUGCCCUUCAAUAAGUUGGCAAGUAAAACUGAAUGGAGUAUAACUUCCCAGGCUCAUUCAAUUUUCUUUCUACCCCUACCUUUUUCUAAUAUUCUGUGUGGCUAAUUGGAGAUAACUCUAAAGAUUCACACAGGCUGUUAUUCCCGCUAACUGUAUGAUGUAUUUCCACUAAUUGUAUGAAGGGGUGAUCAGCAUUCUGGACUUUCACUUCUGCUGAAAGCGCCAGUCAUCACAAUUCAUACCAAGUUGUCCUGAAGAGGAAAAGCUGAAAGAACAGGGUGGGAUAAACCCCAUAAGCAGUAGCCCAGAACUAGUCGUCUCUCAGAUUAUUGCAACUGGCCUAUUGUCACGAGGAUCUUUUUGUAUCUAUUGAACAACUUCUAUUACUUUUUGGAUAUAUAUAAUAUAGGGGAGAACAGUGUACAAUUUGAUAUGAUCAUCAGGACUUCCUGGCAAAUAGUAAUCAAAUCUACAAGUAUUGUAGCAGUGGGGGUUUAAUUUAUAAAAAGAAGAUAAAGUUUGCCUGUACUUACCACUUCUCUGUGUAGCGUUGGACCAAAACAUGUUACUGGUACUUUGGAAGUGCUUCAAAACAGUCAAGGUGGGGAGAGAAGAUAGAUUUUAAUGAAAGUGUGAUUUUUGAAUUGCUCCUGUCUAUAGUUAAACUCAUUCAAGAUUUAAAUUAAGAGACUUGCUUUUGUCUUGCGUUUACAUAGACUAUUGUUAUCUAUAACAAACCCACAGGAUGACAUAACGUAUAAACUGAUGAAACUCUGUGAAAUUACAUUGCUGUAAAUAUGGGGGACCGUUCGUCUUGUGAAAUUAACAUUUACAGUAUUGAAGACUCCAGCUCUAGUACUGAACACAGGAAGCAGAAUAUGCUGAAUUCUAAUAAAAAUGCUCCAUCAAACUUUCUACUUUCAUGUUUUUAGAUAGCUACUAUGGAAAGUGUCAAAGUAAAAAAAAUGUAGUACCUGUUCUAGCUACAGUACAGGCCAAACAAGGAUAUUUUUUUUUGUAUUUCUAGGCCUGAUUUAUUCUUUUUACAGAGGAUGCCAAAGAAGUUGAAACCAACGUUGUACUCCAGUUUGUAGUCAUAAGUGGGGAAUAAGUGAAUGUUGCUUCCGAACAUACCUAGGACUGAGCUGUACAAUUACAAUAUGAAAAGUGGUUGGUAGGAAACUUUUUACAAAUAGGUAAAUUGGACUUACAAAUUGGACUUGCCUAACGUUCUAUAAAAAGUGUUGCAGAUUCACUAUGUGCUUUACAAAUAGUUGCUUUGUAAGACCAUUAAAUAAACCCUGCACUAACUUCAGAGGAGUAUGACAGAUGCCAUUUUCAAGGAUUUUAAAGAUGGGCAGAAGCCCAAUCAUACCUGCAUUCAUAUUUUGCAUGGAUUUUCUAUCAAAGGUCACAUUAGGGAAUUCUGAGCCUGCAGAUGUCACUGAUACUGGUUUAAGGAGAAGCAGGAUGUUGUGGCCAAGCACACCAACCACUGUCAAGCUGGAACUGAACAAUGCCUUUUCAUUUAUUGUAAAGCUGGUAGUACUGAAAAAGCUUCAAAUUUCUGCAACACAUGCUGCUAUUAAGAAAAAUUAAAACUGUUCAGUUGCAAAA
Long non-coding RNA from Sphaerodactylus townsendi, 7401 nucleotides. RefSeq lists it as uncharacterized. The transcript has 2 exons. Lineage: Eukaryota; Metazoa; Chordata; Lepidosauria; Squamata; Sphaerodactylidae. The record is from RefSeq and is a predicted model, not a curated record.